Molecule: long non-coding RNA, 1746 nt
Filed under: Salmo salar (Atlantic salmon)
Lineage: Eukaryota; Metazoa; Chordata; Actinopteri; Salmoniformes; Salmonidae
Description: lncRNA (ENSSSAG00000096186.1)
Source: RNAcentral
GUUUGGAGGAUUACCUUGCUGCUUAUUCCCUUCUGAUUCCAGAAAUCCUCCAAGACUUAAAAAAAAAAAUAUAUAUAUAUAUUUUUUUUAGAACAUUUGAGGAAUUUUGCAACCCUAAUGUCAACAUUGGAGAGGCCUUAUAAAAGCCUCUGGUUACGGCCUCUAGAUAGGCCUCUAGUUCCGACUGCGAAACCUACGUUAAACCAUGGGACAUAAAUAGCUAGGUAGAGAUCUUCAAACUGGAUGUCUCAUUUGGACCAGUCACUUAAACUGUCAUUGUCAUUUCAGACCACAUUUUACCCAAGUGCCCAUGGGUUACAAUUGGUUACCUUUUGUUUUACUUCAUGGAUGUUUUGGAUCUUUCUAAUCAUCAGGGGUGGGUGUUUGUGUGCUCGACGAGGAGGGAGGGUUUUACUCUUCUUUUGAGCCAGAAAGUUAGCGGUUUCUAUCCACCUUACUUCCGUGCUAUGGCUGUCUGUCAGUCAUUGGCUGUGUCUGAAUGCUUAGCCAAAAUGUAAUAAUCCCCUUUUCCCAAUGACGUUGUGCCAACACCCAACCCUGUUGACUUUAAAGCUUCACUCUAGAAAGUGCCUCACAGGUUGAUUUUUAUAUGGUAAAUGUUCACUGCACCUUUCCCUCAGUGAGUUGGUUGAGUGUUGGUGUAUAGAAGCUUGGUAAACAAGUAUCACCUUACAGAUUAGUACAUAUAUUUGCCCCCUUCCCACUAUCUCUGAGCCAUCGUAUAGAACUUUGUCGACAAAGCACCUGUGUACAAAGCCCGAGCUGCCUCUUGGCUUUGUAACUCUGAGACCAAGAACAGGGCCUUUUUUAUUCUUCUGUUCAUGCUCCACCAGCUUCGAGCUGACAAGGUAAAAAUCUGUCGCUCUGUCCCGGAGCAAGGCAGUUAACCCGCUGUUCCCCGGGCGCCAAAGACGUGGAUGUCGAUUUUAAGGCAGCCCUCCGCACCUCUCUGAUUGAGAAGAGUUGGGUUAAAUGCGGAAGACCCAUUUCAGUUGAAUACAUUUAGUUGGACAACUGACUAGGUAUCCCCCUUUCCAUUUCAUGCUGUAACGCCGGGUUCCAUUCCAAUUCAAACCCAUUCCAUUGUUUUGUGUUCCAGCUAUGUCUUCACUCCAUUUCACUGAAGUGCUGGACCUUUGACUAUUCCUUCUUUAUGGCCCCUCGUUGAGUCCUCCACCUAACCAAAUAUAGUUGGUAUAAUACAUUGCCCUGAGUUACUGCAAUCACAAAGACAUAGUUUACUGGUUAUUACAGAGGACAGCCUAGCGUGUCUGGGUCCUUGUUCCAUACCCCUGCUAGCUGCAGAUUGAAAUGUGGCGUAAUGCCCCAGUAGAGCAUUUUGAAUAUCCCUGUCUGAGUAACAGGGCGCAACUUUCUCCAGAGACGGUGAACGAUAGCGAAACAGACUGGAGGAGUGGGACUUCAUAGGGUUCAACCAGUCUCUCCCACCCCUAAACCUGUCUCUCCUCUGAGCCCAUUUAGCUGUCCCUUUUGAGACGCCCAAAGUUGUCUCGCUCUUUCUCUUAACUCCUAUCCUCUCUUUCUCCUUCCGCCGCCUUCUCGUUCUCUUUUCCCUUUGGGCCGGUUUUGUCUCCCUUAUAACCGGUCACUGUCCCACUCCCUUCUGUACAUAAUGUAGGGUUAUUUAUAUUUCAUUCCUCUCUGCUGCCUUGCUUUUUAUUUUCUCAUUUUUUUAAGAAUCUAUAUUAAAACUGUACUGGGACC